Molecule: ribosomal RNA, 856 nt
Filed under: Penicillium griseolum
Lineage: Eukaryota; Fungi; Ascomycota; Eurotiomycetes; Eurotiales; Aspergillaceae
Description: LSU rRNA
Rfam family: Eukaryotic large subunit ribosomal RNA
Source: RNAcentral
CGAGUGAAGCGGCAAGAGCUCAAAUUUGAAAGCUGGCUCCUUCGGGGCCCGCAUUGUAAUUUGCAGAGGAUGCUUCGGGAGCGGCCCCCAUCUAAGUGCCCUGGAACGGGCCGUCAUAGAGGGUGAGAAUCCCGUAUGGGAUGGGGUGUCCGCGCCCGUGUGAAGCUCCUUCGACGAGUCGAGUUGUUUGGGAAUGCAGCUCUAAAUGGGUGGUAAAUUUCAUCUAAAGCUAAAUAUUGGCCGGAGACCGAUAGCGCACAAGUAGAGUGAUCGAAAGAUGAAAAGCACUUUGAAAAGAGAGUUAAAAAGCACGUGAAAUUGUUGAAAGGGAAGCGUUUGCGACCAGACUCGCCCGUGGGGUUCAGCCGGCACUCGUGCCGGUGUACUUCCCCGCGGGCGGGCCAGCGUCGGUUUGGGCGGCCGGUCAAAGGCCCUCGGAAUGUAACGCCUCUCGGGGCGUCUUAUAGCCGAGGGUGCCAUGCGGCCUGCCCGGACCGAGGAACGCGCUUCGGCUCGGACGCUGGCAUAAUGGUCGUAAACGACCCGUCUUGAAACACGGACCAAGGAGUCUAACAUCUACGCGAGUGUUCGGGUGUCAAACCCGUGCGCGCAGUGAAAGCGAACGGAGGUGGGAACCCUUUGGGUGCACCAUCGACCGAUCCAGAAGUCUUCGGAUGGAUUUGAGUAAGAGCGUAGCUGUUGGGACCCGAAAGAUGGUGAACUAUGCCUGAAUAGGGCGAAGCCAGAGGAAACUCUGGUGGAGGCUCGCAGCGGUUCUGACGUGCAAAUCGAUCGUCAAAUUUGGGUAUAGGGGCGAAAGACUAAUCGAACCAUCUAGUAGCUGGUUCCUGCCGAA